AUUGAACGCUGGCGGCAGGCCUAACACAUGCAAGUCGAGCGGAUGAAGGGAGCUUGCUCCUGGAUUCAGCGGCGGACGGGUGAGUAAUGCCUAGGAAUCUGCCUGGUAGUGGAGGAUAACGUCCGGAAACGGGCGCUAAUACCGCAUACGUCCUGAGGGAGAAAGUGGGGGAUCUUCGGACCUCACGCUAUCAGAUGAGCCUAGGUCGGAUUAGCUAGUUGGUGGGGUAAAGGCCUACCAAGGUGACGAUCCGUAACUGGUCUGAGAGGAUGAUCAGUCACACUGGAACUGAGACACGGUCCAGACUCCUACGGGAGGCAGCAGUGGGGAAUAUUGGACAAUGGGCGAAAGCCUGAUCCAGCCAUGCCGCGUGUGUGAAGAAGGUCUUCGGAUUGUAAAGCACUUUAAGUUGGGAGGAAGGGCAGUAAGUUAAUACCUUGCUGUUUUGACGUUACCAACAGAAUAAGCACCGGCUAACUUCGUG
This 484-nucleotide ribosomal RNA is filed under the name uncultured bacterium. RNAcentral describes it as "partial 16S ribosomal RNA". It matches the Rfam family "Bacterial small subunit ribosomal RNA", at positions 30 to 507 of the family's 1533-position model. The record is from RNAcentral.